GAUGAACGCUGGCGGCGUGCUUAACACAUGCAAGUCGAGCGGAGUUAUUUCAAGGAAGUUUUCGGAUGGAAUUGAAAUGACUUGGCGGCGGACGGGUGAGUAACGCGUGGGUAACUUGCCUCAUACAGGGGGAUAACAGUUGGAAACGACUGCUAAUACCGCAUAAGCGCACAGUGCUGCAUAGCACAGUGUGAAAAACUCCGGUGGUAUGAGAUGGACCCGCGUCUAAUUAGGUAGUUGGUGGGGUAACGGCCCACCAAGCCGACGAUCAAUAGCCGACCUGAGAGGGUGACCGGCCACAUUGGGACUGAGACACGGCCCAAACUCCUACGGGAGGCAGCAGUGGGGAAUAUUGGACAAUGGGGGAAGCCCUGAUCCAGCGACGCCGCGUGAGUGAAGAAGUAUUUCGGUAUGUAAAGCUCUAUCAGCAGGGAAGAAAAUGACGGUACCUGACUAAGAAGCCCCGGCUAACUACGUGCCAGCCGCCGCAGUAA
Molecule: ribosomal RNA, 494 nt
Filed under: uncultured bacterium
Lineage: Bacteria
Description: partial 16S ribosomal RNA
Rfam family: Bacterial small subunit ribosomal RNA
Source: RNAcentral